Molecule: long non-coding RNA, 1418 nt
Organism: Carassius auratus (goldfish)
Lineage: Eukaryota; Metazoa; Chordata; Actinopteri; Cypriniformes; Cyprinidae
Exons: 3
Source: RefSeq, a predicted model, not a curated record
UGCUAAAUUUCCUUUUAUUUUGUUAUAAUUCUGUGUUGUGCCAUUUAAAAACAUUGUCUGGAUGGUAAAGUUUGGCUUUCGUAAUUAAAACAAACUUGUCAAUACAUUUGACUUUCUCUGUAAAGAUUUAUUUAUACAUUUAUUAUUAUUUUACAGUGUUUUAACAUAUUUCUGUAUUUUUCAUGUUUAUGAUAUUUUGGAAUGACUGAAGAUCAGUGCAGAAUUCAAUAAUCUUGUGGAUGGAUUGUAGCAAGUCCUUUUGCAGUUGAAUCCAUUAAAAUGGUAUGCAGACAUAAUGGAAAUGACAUUCACAUUGUAGAGCUUGGACAAAGUUCACACAGGCUCGGAGCAGGAAUUCAUCAAGGACAUGACUGUUGGGAAUACAGUUGAGGAUGACCAAACUGAGCACCAUCAAUCUGCAGUGCUGUGUUUCAGUCAUCAGGUGAAAUUGAGGAUGUUGUGAAAGAAACUGAUGAGGACAUUCGGAUUGUAACUGAGGAGCAGCAAUGUGAUGUGCUUCCCAAGGAAUAACCAACAUUGCUCUCAUUUGGACAUCUUGUCAUCACUGACAUCUCCCAUGUCCCCAAGGCAUUUGGACUCCUAAUGGGUCUGUAUGUAGUGAACAUCCACUAACUUAAGUGCAUGAAAUACAAAAACUUGUGAAGAACAGCUACUCCCACCAUGUGCUCACUGCUCACCAUUGUUGGGAGUGAAUGUACAGUGCUCUCUCCCUCCUUCAAUACCAUGACUGAGGUUGUCACGGUUCUUGAAUUCACUGCCUCAUCCUCUCUGUGUGUGUUUGGUUGUGUUGGAGGUGUGGCCACUGAUUGCCAAUCACCUGAUCACCACCAACAGCUGCAGUCACUUUCACCGGCCUAUAUAUGUUCUCAUCUCACUUCCUGUCUUUGUCAGAUCGUUUGGAGUUUGUUGUGAGUCGUCCUGUCCUGGGCUGUCUUGUUCUCACGUUAUUGUCCUGGUUUCUGUGUUGUCUUCAUGGUCGUUCCGUUCCUCGUGUUCCACUGAAGACUGGUUGCCCAUCUGUGUCCCUGUGCUGCCAGGAGAGGACCAUCAUGCACUUGCUUCUAUCGGACCCACUACAACUCUUUGCCUUCUCAAUAAAGAACUGAGAUUUCACUCGCUACUGAAUCCUCCUUAUUUAUCCUGAGAGAGGUGCUCUUGAGCAAGGCACCAAACCCCCAACUGCUCCCCGGGUGCUGCAGCAUAAAUGAUGACCACUGCUCCGGGUGUGUGCUCACAGUGUGUGUGUGCACUUUGGAUGGGUUAAAUGCAGAGGACGAAUUCUGAGUAUGGGUCUUUACUUUUACUUUUCAAUGUUCAUGAUGUGUUUAUCGGCUCUACAGCAAGUUUUAUCAUAUAAACUAUGUUUUUUUUUCUUUAUUCUUUCACUGUAUUUUAGA